RNAcentral lists this ribosomal RNA (105 nucleotides) under Planctomycetota bacterium. RNAcentral describes it as "partial 23S ribosomal RNA". It matches the Rfam family "Bacterial large subunit ribosomal RNA", at positions 2815 to 2925 of the family's 2925-position model. Lineage: Bacteria; Pseudomonadati; Planctomycetota. The record is from RNAcentral.
UUGUGCGACGAGAGACCCCUGGUAGACCACCAGGUUGAUAGGCCGCGCGUGUACCGGCAGAAAUGCCCUCAGCGAAGCGGUACUAAUGGUCGAUGACUUGGUCAC